AUGGGCUGUAGGGCUGUGGGGCUGGAGCUAGAAGAGGUGCCUGCUCUCUUGGCAGGGGGCUAUGGGCGAGGCUGUGAGGUGGGCCCAGUGCUGGAGACGGUCCUCUCCCAGCUGAGAAGGGAAGGGAAAGGGGGUGACGGAGGGGGAGGGAGAGGGGACAGGCAAGUGAGAGGGCCACCAGCUGUGGCCUUGGGGAGCCCCCUCCCCACUACCACUUCAUGGCGCCCACCCACUACCGUUGCCCUCAUCAGCAAGGACAGCUUUUAUGAGCAUUCAACAGAAG
RNAcentral lists this long non-coding RNA (283 nucleotides) under Homo sapiens (human). RNAcentral's name for it is "non-protein coding lnc-C19orf12-5:1". Lineage: Eukaryota; Metazoa; Chordata; Mammalia; Primates; Hominidae. The record is from RNAcentral.